RNAcentral lists this long non-coding RNA (313 nucleotides) under Nicotiana benthamiana. RNAcentral describes it as "long non-coding RNA (NBEN_LNC017705)". The record is from RNAcentral. Lineage: Eukaryota; Viridiplantae; Streptophyta; Magnoliopsida; Solanales; Solanaceae.
UUUACUCGUUUAUUUGAACCUUUGCAUCUCCCAUGAAAAUACCUAGUCAUUCCACCGAUGAAACUUGUGGUUACCCCCUGUAUCCUAUUUUUCAUGAUGCUAUCUUUGGUAUGUUCUGGCCACGUUGUGCUUUGCAAUUUUGGAAGCUAGUAGUGAGCUUUGAAAUCCUUUCUUAUUUAAUUUGAACAAGACUGACAUUAAAAUAUCUUAGAGAGACAAACCCCAAAAGAAAUGAAAUGCAAUGACCUUGAGGGUUAAGGAUAAAAAAAUCCAAAACUGGAUGACUUACUGAAAGGAAAGAAAAGGACAAGAG